GAUGAACGCUGGCGGCGUGCCUAACACAUGCAAGUCGAGCGAGAAUUCUUUACUUGAUCCUUCGGGUGAUUUUAAAGAAGGAAAGCGGCGGACGGGUGAGUAACGCGUAGGCAACCUGCCCUUUGCAGAGGGAUAGCCUCGGGAAACCGGGAUUAAAACCUCAUAAUGCGACUGAAAGACAUCUUCCGGUCGCCAAAGAUUUAUCGCUGAUAGAUGGCCUCGCGUCUGAUUAGAUAGUUGGUGAGGUAACGGCUCACCAAGUCGACGAUCAGUAGCCGGACUGAGAGGUUGAACGGCCACAUUGGGACUGAGACACGGCCCAAACUCCUACGGGAGGCAGCAGUGGGGAAUAUUGCACAAUGGGGGAAACCCUGAUGCAGCGACGCCGCGUGAGCGAUGAAGUAUUUCGGUAUGUAAAGCUCUAUCAGCAGGGAAGAAAAUGACGGUACCUGACUAAGAAGCACCGGCUAAAUACGUG
RNAcentral lists this ribosomal RNA (478 nucleotides) under uncultured bacterium. RNAcentral's name for it is "bacterial SSU rRNA". It matches the Rfam family "Bacterial small subunit ribosomal RNA", at positions 28 to 507 of the family's 1533-position model. The record is from RNAcentral.